Molecule: ribosomal RNA, 682 nt
Filed under: uncultured Streptococcus sp.
Lineage: Bacteria; Bacillati; Bacillota; Bacilli; Lactobacillales; Streptococcaceae
Description: bacterial SSU rRNA
Rfam family: Bacterial small subunit ribosomal RNA
Source: RNAcentral
UCUGGAUGAGUUGCGAACGGGUGAGUAACGCGUAGGUAACCUGCCUGGUAGCGGGGGAUAACUAUUGGAAACGAUAGCUAAUACCGCAUAAUAGUAGUUGUUGCAUGACAACUGCUUGAAAGGUGCAAUUGCAUCACUACCAGAUGGACCUGCGUUGUAUUAGCUAGUUGGUGGGGUAACGGCUCACCAAGGCGACGAUACAUAGCCGACCUGAGAGGGUGAUCGGCCACACUGGGACUGAGACACGGCCCAGACUCCUACGGGAGGCAGCAGUAGGGAAUCUUCGGCAAUGGACGGAAGUCUGACCGAGCAACGCCGCGUGAGUGAAGAAGGUUUUCGGAUCGUAAAGCUCUGUUGUAAGAGAAGAACGAGUGUGAGAGUGGAAAGUUCACACUGUGACGGUAUCUUACCAGAAAGGGACGGCUAACUACGUGCCAGCAGCCGCGGUAAUACGUAGGUCCCGAGCGUUGUCCGGAUUUAUUGGGCGUAAAGCGAGCGCAGGCGGUUAGAUAAGUCUGAAGUUAAAGGCUGUGGCUUAACCAUAGUACGCUUUGGAAACUGUUUAACUUGAGUGCAAGAGGGGAGAGUGGAAUUCCAUGUGUAGCGGUGAAAUGCGUAGAUAUAUGGAGGAACACCGGUGGCGAAAGCGGCUCUCUGGCUUGUAACUGACGCUGAGGCUCGA